UACACAUACCUGCUGACGAGUCCCGACCGAGAAGGUCGGGCGCAAGAGGGAACACCGGUGCCCCUGAAUGGGAAGGCCGGGGCUGUGCCCGCAACUGUGAGCAACGUCAGGCAACCCGCGACGAACGCGUCGUUCACUGGCCUCCGGGCCGGGAAGAACACGCGGGAGCGGGCGACGCCGGCCGGGAAGAUCGCCCGGCACGUUGCAAGCCAGGAGACCUGCUCGUCGCAUCCUGCCAUC
RNAcentral lists this non-coding RNA (240 nucleotides) under Rhodothermaceae bacterium RA. Lineage: Bacteria; Pseudomonadati; Rhodothermota; Rhodothermia; Rhodothermales; Rhodothermaceae. RNAcentral also lists the same sequence under 1 other name. The record is from RNAcentral.